Molecule: ribosomal RNA, 460 nt
Filed under: uncultured bacterium
Lineage: Bacteria
Description: partial 16S ribosomal RNA
Rfam family: Bacterial small subunit ribosomal RNA
Source: RNAcentral
CCUACGGGUGGCAGCAGUGAGGAAUAUUGGUCAAUGGGCGUAAGCCUGAACCAGCCAAGUCGCGUGAGGGAUGAAGGUUCUAUGGAUCGUAAACCUCUUUUAUAAGGGAAUAAAGUGCGGGACGUGUCCCGUCUUGUAUGUACCUUAUGAAUAAGGAUCGGCCAACUCCGUGCCAGCAGCCGCGGUAAAACGGAGGGUCCGAGCGUUAUCCGGAUUUAUUGGGGUUAAGGGGUGCGUAGGCGGCCUUUUAAGGCAGCGGUGAAAGUCUGUGGCUCAACCAUAGAAUUGCCGUUGAGACUGGGAGGCUUGAGUAUGGUUGAGGCAGGCGGAAUGCGUGGUGUAGCGGUGAAAUGCUUAGAGAUCACGAAGAACACCGAUUGCGAAGGCAGCUUACUAGACUGCGACUGACAUUGAGGCUCGAAAGUGUGGGUAUCAAACAGGAUUAGAUACCCGAGUAGUC